RNAcentral lists this long non-coding RNA (40033 nucleotides) under Populus trichocarpa (black cottonwood). RNAcentral's name for it is "long non-coding RNA (PTRI_LNC001528)". The record is from RNAcentral. Lineage: Eukaryota; Viridiplantae; Streptophyta; Magnoliopsida; Malpighiales; Salicaceae.
GAUUUUUUUUUUUAUUAUUUGACUUUUUUUAAAAACAUUUCAAAAAAAAAUAUUUUUUAUAUAAAAGACGUGAUUCUUCUGCAAUGGAGUAGAGGAUGUCGGAUAGAAAAGAAAAAAAGGGUAUAUCAGCUGAGAUCUUAGUUCUUUGAUGUUCCUUUUCAAUUACCUUUUUUCUGCACUCAAGGUGCUCGACAAAAUGCUCAGGGCUUACAUUAUUGAAUGAACUAAUAGGAUAAAAAAGCAAUCAAAGGAUCCAUUUGAGUGGAAUAAGAAGAAUCACCACCAGAAUCCCUGAUUGCCCGAGAUGAUUAUGACACUCAAACUUCUAAUGCUGUUGCUACUCCUGUUGGUUCCUAGAGUAUCAUUGCUGCUCAAAAUGAUGAUGAGCUUAGUGGAGGAGGCAACAGUUUUAUCCAUCCCUCUGAUAAUCCAUCUACUUUGAGACCCAUGUUAGGCACUGCAAGAAGUAAGGGAAAGAAUAAAGAAGAUGAGGAGGAGAAAGAUGAAGAUAACAUGGAUGUUGAGCUUCCAAAGUUGACUUCUACUGUUGAUCCCAAUAAAAUGGCCAAGUAAAGAUUUUUAGAUUAUAAUUUAUCCCGUCAUCUUUUAUGUGUUUGAAUGUGUGCAUUAACUGAUUGAUUAUAAUUCUCUCCAUUGAAAUGUAAUUACAUGAGCUUGAUCAACCAAGCCAACAAGCUGUUAUCAUAGUUUCUUAACAUUAUUUUAAGUUUAAUAGUAAGAAAUAAAGAGAUCACAUGGAAAGCUAUGGAACCUUUCCUUAUUGAAGUGACCGUAAAAAUCAGUAACUUGCUUCUUUUACUCUCUUUUUUCUUCUUCUUCUUCUAGAUUCACAUAGGUCAAUUGGUUCAACCAAAAAGAAAAAAUAGCAGGGAGGUCUAUUCUUGAAGAAAUAAACUUUUUUUCAGUGUACGAGGAGACAUUAAAUUAAGAAAGUUGAUAGACUUACAAAUACCAUAAGCUACAAGUUUGAAUUUGGUUGCCUCUUUCUACCCUUUUUUGAAAACGCCUCACAAUAUUGAUUCUCAGUUGAGGUGUCUUCGCUUUUUGUAUGCUUUCAUCAUUGCAUUUUCCAUUAUUUUGAUAGCCCUUGCUAACCUAUCUAUUUGCCUUGAUUGCAUUCGUUUUUUCCUGCAAAUGUUUGCUCACUCGGAUGCAUGCCUUUGUUUUUCCUUUGAUUUAGUAAUGGGAGCUUGCCUUUUGCCGUUAUCUACUAAAUAUUUCUUUUACUGAAAUAGGGCCACAUAAAUAUUGAUUUUUAAUUGGUUAUAGAGGCUGAUAAAUUAUGUGCAUCGUUUGUUAUUUCAUUUGGAUAAGGGCUAUUUUUCACAGCAUACAGGAGGAUGUUAUUAUUUAGUCAAUGGAAAGCCAUCGAAGAUUACUCUUGAUAAAGGAAAGCUUUAGGAUGCUGCUAAUUACAGAACAAAUCAUUGAAGGUUGCUCUUGAUAAAGGAAAGCUUUAGGUUAAUUAUGGAACGAAGCUAAUAUCCCUUUGAAUUUGUAUAUUGAUGCUAUAUGAAUUCUUUUUUUCAACAGGACUUCAUUUAGCCUCAGAAUAUGUGCUACUUCCAUUGUAGGCGCUAGCAAAGGCCGUAGCUAUCUGUCAGUACUUGCAGCAUUUUAGUUAUUGUUCUCUAACACAUAAGAGACGUUGAUCAGGUAACAAAUCUUCUCUUUAUAAUUUUUUUGGUUUUAGGGAUCUGAUAUGGCUCCUUUUAAGAAGGACUAACUAUAAUUAAAAGUAGUCAUUGAAAAAGUUCUGAUAAAAUGACGAUUCACAUGUAUUACUGGGACCUUUAAACUUACCUGAAAUCGACAUUGAUGACAACCUCAACAGCACUGACAGCCAACAGAAUCAACCAACCUAGCAUCAUAAGAGCGUAGAGACCAGUAGCAGCAGUUGUAGGGAAAAACAGCAGCAACAUCACUUGUAGGGGGGGAAAAGAGAGAAUCCAACAAGAUGAGUUUUCUUUAUCCUUUUUUUCAAUUUUCCCCUUGCUUAGGCAUGGAUUUAUUUCACCCUUGAGAACUUCAUGUGGUGCUUCAUGCUUAAUGUGUUGAUUUCUCUAGUGAUGUUGUGUAUUUGCGUUCAUCAUCAUAGAUUGCACACAUCUGUGUUUUUUAGCAACCUAUUUUCUCUUUUCGUUCAUGUUCUCCCAUCAUUAUUGACCAUAUCUACUUUACUGUUAGUUCUUGUCUGUGUGUGUUAGCAAAUUCAUCAUGUGAUUAACAGUUUUUGUGCGAUUGUUGUUUGUUCUGGCAAGUUUUGGUCAAUUUCAUGGGCAAAACGAGUGAAGAUCACAUUGGCAGAGAAGGGGAUCAAAUACGAGUCCAUGAAAAAAAACUUGAUAGACUAGAGUCCCCUGCUUCUUAAAUGAACCCAGUUCUUAAAAGAUGAUUCGUGUUCUUAUUCACAAUAGAGUGCCCGUUUGUGAGUCUCUUAAUAUUGUCCAAUACAUUGAUGGGGUAGGGGAAAAUUAGUAUAGGGUUUCCGAGGGAAGAUUUGAUCAAUAGUUUAGCUGAUAUCUAAAGAGAACCCAAGCCAUGUUCCAAACAGAAAUCUUAAAACCUUUCAACUGCUCAGGUUCCAAAUGAUAUCCAUAGCCAAAGUACAACAGGAAUGACUUUAUAUUUUCUUACACCAAAUUUGGUCAUCUCUUGCCUUAAAGUCUUCCAACUAAGCACUUUGGUCCUUUGGGAUGCUUUUUACUUGUAGAGAGGAAAGUUCAAUGCUAUUUUCAUUAGUGUAGCAAUUUGAUCUUAAGUUGACUGGAGUCUAUAAACCAAAGAAGUUGUCUUGCUUGAAGUGCGUAUUUGCUUAUUAUCACGAUGUUGUGCAAUAUUAUUGUCUUUUCUUUGUAGAAAUAACACCGUCAAAGUAGUUCCUAAUUUCAAAGAGAACAAAUUAGGAAUUUAACUGCAUUCUUUUUCAUAAAUAAAUCACUUUUCCUUUACAUUGUUUCAACAAGACAAAUACCAAAGGCUUUUGGUUAAACUCAAUCAAUAAUGUUCAAUUUAGUUUGAUCAUGUCUUAUACAACAGAAGCAGGUUGUGAUUUAUAUAAGCAAGCUUAGCUGGUGAACUCGCUUCCGCUCAAUUCUCUUAACCAUGAUAAUUAGUGGGAUUCCCACCUUUUGUUUUUAAGAAUUUCCUUUUUUUAGACUCUGCUUUUAUUGCUUGCUUAUUUAGUUCUUUUUAUUGGUUCAUGGGAUCUCUUGGUUGUUACUUGCUUAUAUAAUUCUCUUAAUAGUCCAUAUAAUUUACUUAAUAAAUGUUUGUCUUUCUUGCUUCGAAACCCUCUUGUUUAUGUCAUGUAUAUGACAAGACCUAAUAGACAGGUUUACAAAUUGCAGACCUAGGUCCCCUCUCACAUGUUUUUAUCUUUUUCUUCUGAUCUUUUUAACAAGAAAUGAGCCUAUCUAGAGAUCGCAAGUGAUGGUUUGGAGGAUUAGAGCCAUUCACUCAUUAACAUACUACCAUGUUAUUUUCAGUCGUCGUUUAUGCGUUUGUGCAUAUCACCUGUUCAAACCUUUAUUUUUUUUCCACUCCAUUUGCUUCCAUGCAUAAACAUUUAGCAUGCUUCCAUUGGAAUGUUCAAGCUUCACAACCAGCUCCUUAUGCUUUCAUUUCUUUCUCUUUUUAGGCAGGAACUAACGACAAUACUUUAUUGCAGGACUGCUGAUUAUCAAGCCUUGUUCAGGUUUGACGAUCAUCGUUCAAACAGGUUACAUUUCUCAACACAAAUUACAAAUUAGCUCACUCUCUCUUUUGUCAUACCAGCAAUGUCUGUGCAGUAAACUCCGCUCAGCCACUGCCUUUUUCCUUUUUUACAUUAUGAACAAUUGCUGGGUCUAGAGUGUGAUUUUUCUUUGUGCCACUGUCCAAGGCCGCUGUUAAUUUUUAUUUGAAUACCACCAACUUAAAAUGUUAAAAGGCCUUUGUACCACUUUUUAUUUCUUUCCAUGAGACAUUGUAAUUCUUUGUUUGGCAGAUUUUUAUCAAUCGAAUUGGGAUUAGCGCAUUAUUGACUCUUUCCACAUCGUCAAGACUACUCUCUCUUGGCCUUGUUUUCAUGUGAAUGUGCAGUUGCCUUCUUUUGUGGCCUUAAAGAACACUCGAUCGAUAGCCCACCGUAACCAAAACCAGGCCUGCAGGGACUGCUAUUUUAAUCCCACCAUUGAUAGGCUUGAAAGAUGAUGCAGUUGAGGGAUGAGUGCCCAGAGAAUUGGAGAGCCAAAUACAGAAGAGAAUGACAUUUUAUUUAUGUAAUAAUUUUGCGUCUCUUACUCAUCUCUCUUCUUUCACUACUGUCAAUAGAAAUAUGAGUAAUAGCAGCGGAGGUGGUCUGAUCGGCUCUUCGAAGGAAGUAAUUGUUAGAGAUUUGAGACAUAUAAUAGCAAUCCUAUUACAAGAAAAGCAAGAGACAGAAACACAUGGAAGAGCAUUACAACAGAGGCACCCCUUGUUGCUGAGUCGGGCGACUACAAAUUUAUGUUUGUUUUUCAAAAGUUGGGUGCCAUUUUUGUUGUGAAUCAAUUAGGAAGACAUGAGAACACGUUCCAAUAGAAAAUUAUUAUUGUGAUGAUAAUUAUCAGGUUGUCUUCGCCUUAAAUUAGGCCAUCAUAAACCAUUUUAAGCUUUCUUGGCCCUGUAAUGAUGGUGAUUUUGGAUGCAUAUGGGUUUCUUCCAACAUGCAGAUCAUAUCUACAAGCACUAAAAUGAUAGGUUCAUUCUUGGAAUGUUUUGGAAGAUAAUAGGCUCAUGAAAAACAAUAUUUGCAAUAGCUAGAAAACCUGCCAUGAUAAAACAUUAAAAGAAAGCCUAAAAUAAAUGUAUCGAAAGCAGUUUAACUUCAUUAUUCCAACAUAGGGGAAGGAAAGACAAACAAUAUGCACUUCACAGACAACAUAUAGACACACACAAUGCAUAUAGCUCGUUUGGGAACGCGGCUGCGGCUGCGUUCUUAAAAAAUUUGAAUUUUUUUUUUUUACUAAAAUUUAAUAUGGUUUGUAUGUUUUGAAUCGUUUUGAUGUGCUGAUGUCAAAAAUGAUUUUUAAAAAAUGAAAAAACAUCAUUGACAUGCAUUUUGACACGAAAAGUUAUUUGAAAAACACCCGCAGCCACACUGUCAAACACGCUCUAAGAAACUUGCAAGAUUAAAGAAAUAAUUGGGUAUAGAAAAAUCACAAAUAUUUGCUUGUCGGGGAAUUCUCAGUGUAUUCUUCGGCACCUCUAUCAACUGAGAAUUGUUGGUGUAUUGUUCAUUGAAGAGGUCUUUAUAUUUCAAAUAGUUUUGGAUAGACUCAGAGCAUGCCUUGAGUCCCCAGACUUGUAUUUUAUUUCUCUAUCAAUGUUGUCCUUCAAUUUCUCUACGCUACCGAAGGAGGGGAGAAUAUUCAACUGUAAUUUCAUUAAUUAUGUACCUCUUGCAGAUUCCAAUGGGUAUGAAUUUAUCGAAUUAAUCAAAGCCUUUAAGAAAUAAAAAUAAUCAUGCAUCCUAUCGAAUGAACUGAAAAUGGACAAUCAAAAUAACCAGGAUCUAAAACGAUACACCUUUUUUCAUCCGACAUCCUCUACGACAUCGUAGAGGCAACCCCUCCAGCACCACCAUUUUUAUGAUUGCCAACGCAAGAGCAAACCCUCCUCUCUGUAGCUUUUUCUUAUCUGAUACAGCCUCGUUCUCUUCAAUUUUUUCUAUCUGUCUGGUGCUCCUUCCUUUUCUUCUUUUUUUUUUCUUCUGCCUGUUUGUUGUAAGAAAAGAAAAACCCAUAAAAAGGCAAUCAUAUCCAAAGGGGAAUUGAGAAAGACUGCCAAAAUACCAUGAUUUCAAAUGACAUACUUCUCAACCACACCAUAGAAGAAUCACCUCUGUAACUCCAGUUUUCAACAAACUUAUUGCAAAGAAAAAGACCUAAUUAAAAUAUUAUAAAACAAAUAGAAAAAGGAUGCGGAAGAAUUACUCAAAAGAGGAGUUUUAUGGUCAAUUUUUAAGUUGAGGUUUUGCAAAAGAAAGGAAUGAUUUUAUGGUAUACAAAGUAAAGAAAGCUAAUGUUAUGGAAAAGCCAAAGUUACGUGAAAGAAGCCUAAAACAAAACAGCAACAAUUGUGCUAACAUGUAUAUGGUGAAAGUGUGCAUCCUGUUUUACUUUCUUUGGUAAUUUUAUCUCCUUCUUCCUCUUUAACAUCUUUUUUUUAAUGGGCCCAGGAUUCCUGAUAAUAUAGGGAUCCAACUUAAAGCCCACAAUUCAGUUCUCCAUGGGUUGUCUUUUUCUCAACAUAAGUUUACUCUCUCUCUCUCUCUCAAGCAGAAAGAAUAUAUUUUUGUGUCGUGAUUCAUGAUAUACAAAUUCUUAAAUAAAAUAAGUGGGGUAUACCUACAAAAAUUUAGUACUUUACAUGUUAUCUCUUAGUUUUCUUUUGAUAACAAAUCAAUCAAAUAUAAUAAAGUAUAAAAACCCCACACACACACACAGUUUCAGAGCCAUAGUUUUUCAAAUGAGGGGGCAAAUUAUUAACAAAUACUAUAUUAUAUAGACGUGCAUUAGAAAUCAAUUCAAAACAUAUAUAUUAAUUCAUAUCAAGUAAAAUUAAUUUUAAAAUACUUUUAAAAUGAAAAAACUUACAUUAUAAUUGUUCUCUUCGAAUUUUCAUAUUUUGAAACUGCUUCAUAAUAGCUUCAUUAUCAAUCUUAUCGAAGAUAUCUUUCUCAAUGUAUACAACCAAACUAUCAUUCAUCCACUUAUCUCUCAUCCUAUUCCGCAAUCUACUCUUGACAAUAUGCAUAGCAGAAAAAACUCUCUCCAUUGUAGUAGUUGCAACUGGUAGAAGUAAUGACAAUUUGAUAAGCAUAUAUACUAAUGGAAAUAUCAAAUUCUUCUUUGUUUUUACCAUUUUCUCUGCAAGAUUAGCAAUACCUUCAAUAGCAGAAAACUCAUCAUCACCACGUAGAUCAAUAAUAUACGUAUCAAGUUGGUCACCAAGUACCAUAAGGUCCACUAUAGAGAAUUCACUAGGAUAAAAAUGAGCAAGGCGAAUAAGCUUUUCUUUGUUGAAAGUAGAGAAAGAGUCAUUUGGGCUUAAACAUGCCACACAAAGAAGUAACUCCGUACUCGUCUCAGUAAAAUGAUCAUCCAACUCAGUAAGUUGCAUGUCAAUGAUAUUGUUAAACAAUUCAUAACAGAAAUGAUGUAAGUUUGUAAUCCCUUGAGAUUUUCGCUUUGAACGCCCACGAAGCUUGUACUCAUCAUCCAUGUUUAGAAUAUCAAUAUCAUGUUUGAUGCAAAAAGAUGACACUUCUUCCAAUAAAGAUUCCCAAUCAUUCUCUCUCAUCAUUUUGAAUCAUUUCUUUAAUGUUUUCAAUAAACUCAUAGCAUUUUCUAGUCUUGAUCUUUUCUUUGUAAUGCUUGUGAGAACUCAUUAGUAACUGCUAGUAUCCUUCUCAAACAAUGAAGCAUGAACACAAAAUUAAAUGAUUCCAUAAUACUUGUUAAAACAACUGCUUUCGUUCUCUGUUCUGAGUUCAUCUCAUCCUCCCUUUAAUCUUAAGCACAUCAAGAACUGAUGAAAACAUUGCAAGUAGACGAAUAAUUGUAACAUAGUGGGAGCCCCAACGGGUAUCACUAUACCUUCUAAGAGAAGUUUCUUGAUUCAGGCCUCGUCCACUAGAAAUUUCUCCAUUUUCAAGUCCUUCAAUAAUUCUAGCAUAUUGUUUUUCUCUAAUCACCUCCAUCCUUUUACAUGAUGCUCCAACUAUGUUUAUAAUGCUAGAAAUAAAAUUGAAGACAUCUUCAACUUCAUUAUGCUUCUUUGUAACAGCCACAAAAGUCAAUUGAAGUCUGUGAGCAAAACAAUGUACAUAAUAUGCACUUGGAUUGUUAUUUAGAAUAAGUGCUUUCAAGCUAUUGAAUUCACCUCGCAUGUUACUAGCUCCAUCAUAUCCCUGACCACGCAAUCUUGAUAUGCUUAGCCCAUGUUUAGAAAACAAAGCUUCAAUAGCUGCCUUGAGUGAACUAGCAGUUGUAUAUGUCAUGUGACUCAUCCUUUCCAGAACUCAUAUUGAAUGCCAAGAAAACGUUCAAUUAUAUGUCCAUUGUUGUCUACAUAUCGUAUAACAACUGCCAUUUGUUCCUUGAUUGAUAUGUCACGUGACUCAUCAAUUAAAAUUGAAAAUAAUAGUCACCUAGAUCUUUGAUAAUCACAUUUGUAAUCUCCUCUAAAGCAACUUGAGUAAUGUCUUUUUGAAUAUCUGGAGAAGUCAAUUUGUUAUGUCUAGGAGCUUCACUGAAAGUAACUCUUUUAAUAGCUUCAUUAUUUCUAGAAAGGAAAUGCAAGACCUCUAGAUAAUUUUCUUGGUUGCUUGAACAUUCACAUUCAUCAUGGCCACAAAAUGGAAGUCCUUGGUGCAACAAAAAACGAGCACACUCUAUUGAAGCAUUUAAUUGAGUUCGAUAAUCACUUUUACUCUUUACUAUCUGCUCAGAUAACAAAGUCAUGAUACUUUAUUUUUCAUUCAUCAAAUUCUCACAUUUUAUCUGAGGUGCAUUGUGACUAUUAUUAGACUUUCCAAUAUAAAGAUCAAAUCUUUCCUUUUUUUCCAAUUUGAAAACCCAUCACCAACAAACGAAUCAAUACCCCCUUUUAACUUGAAGAGGUAACAAUACAAGCAAAAGGCAGCAUCUUUAGCUAUGAUGUACUCUAACCAUGUUGGGUAUGCACCAAACCAAGCCAGAUUAAAGUGUCGUAAUGUUGAUAUAUUUCCAAAUUGUUUUUGAGGAAAAUCACAGUAUGAAGGUUGACAAGGACCUUUUUGUAGAUAAGCUCUUCAGAUUGCAUCCCUAUCAUUUAUAUGGUAUUCAUAAAUUGGUCUUCUUAAGCCAGGGUCAGCAAGGAAAGUGUUAGGGUUGAUUUCAAUAUGACUUUUCUUUGAACUUGAUUGAGUUACAUGACUUGAAGCUUUGAUUGAUUCUUCAUCCUCAAGAGAUUUACGCUUGAAAUACUUGUCUAGUGACAUGUUAAUUUAAUAUGAACCUGCUGGAUUUUUUUAUCAUCAUUAGUGUCUACAUAAUAAUUAACACAACUACACAAUAAUUCAUUGUUAAACAAAAAUCAGUUGAGUUACACAAUAAUUCUAAAUCUUUCAUAUGAAAUUAAUAGCAAAAUACACGUCAAUUCAUCAAAAUCAAAACCUAUUUCAAUUCAUAUCUAUACGUAUAUAAUAAGUAUGUUGAUUAAAUUAUACUUAAUCAUUUCUAGACAUUUAAUUGAGGAACAAUGCCUAGUGUAUGUGUAAGAGGAACAAUGCUUGAAAAACAUGCUUUCUACUUGAUAUUUUACUUACAAACAAAUCAUGUGAAAAUAUAAAUUUCAAUAAACUAUUCUGUCAAUGCAAGAGAUGUUAAGAAUAGUGGUUUUGCAUGAAUAUUAAUUUAUUUCUUUAUAAUAAGAAAAGAAACACUUAAUUGAUUAAAUUAGCAUAUUUAAACAUUUAUUUUGAAUAUAUUUGAAUAUAUUCAUAUCAAAACCCCUAAAUUAUCAUAAACCCUAAUAUUUUUAAUAACUAAUUAUAAAAGAAUAAAACUAAAAUUAGACAAUGAAACAAAUAGAAAAGAUGAAGAAAAUUUACCUAAAGCAUAAAGCAAAAGGCAAGAAAGAUUAAUUGAUGAGUAAAGCAAGAGGCAGGGAACGACAAUUGAACAAUGUUAAACAGGGAAAAAUAAAGAAAGAAAAGGGAAAAGGGGGGGAAAUUAAGGCAAUGAGCUGUAAUUAUAUAUAUAUAUAUAUAUAAACAUAUGAGUCAAAACUUUCCUUCCGUGUAACAAUAAUUCACUAAAUUAAUAUAUUAAUAUAAAAAAUAUAAAAAAAAUUAAGGGGGCAAUUGCCCUCUUUUGAUCCACUGUGGCUCCGCCACUGUGUAUAUAUAUUUAUAUAUUGCAUGUGCUCGUCUAUGGAGCAAACAAUAACAUCACACAAAUGAAAAGGUCUAAAGGGAAAAUCUAGAACUUCUUUAAAAGAAAAAAUAACUAUAAAUAAUCAAUUUCAACCAGACAAAUAUGAAAUCACAAAGUAAGAUAUGAAGAAUAUGUUAUAGGAAAUUUUUCUUUUUUGUUCAAGAUCUUACAUCAACUAUAUGGAUCCUACUUAGCCAUUAUACUCUAUUAAAGGCUAUACUUUCUAUUACAUUCUUCAAUAUUAGUUGAUGAUGCCUACCAAAUGCAUUGAUGUACUUUACUAUCGCAAUCACUUAUGUACUUUAUUUUUUAAUGGUAAGAGUUGGCAGGCAUAAAAACUUGAAAAACAUAACAUACUUUAUUUCUCAAACUAAACUACAUCUGCUUUUUAUAAACUAUAGAACAAAUUACCUUCUCGCAAUAGAAAUUGGUCACCCUAUCCUUGUCUUAUUUAGAUGUUACAACAAUCAUUUAAUAUGCAUCAAGUAAAAGUCUAUAUAAUGGUAUUACAUUGUCGUUAGUCCCAUAUGGAAAUUUGACUUUUUUAUAGUAAACUUCAUCCCUUUCAAUUAAUAAAGAAUUCUUAUGAAUAAUUGCAAUAUCAAAAUAACUUUAUCAACAUCUAGAUACAUGCUUAAUCAUUUUAAAAAGUAUCAACUACCAAACAAAAAAAAACAAGAAGAGGCUAUCCAAGUUAAAAUAUUAAAAGAAUACGUUGGGAAGGUAAGACAUAAUUCUACAACUCUACAAAAGGAUAGAAAGUCUAAUUCUGCCCUUAACACCCCUGAAAUUAUCUGUUAUAGUACUCAACACAAUUUGUCCAAUAAGAGACAAUUCGACCCCUCUUCCAUUUUCAGUCCAUAUCCAGAGUUCUAUAACUCCAAAUUACACGAGGUCAGUUUUAUUUAAAAGAUAACAUUAAUACCUACAACCUUUGUGAAGAACCCAAUCUUAAAUUUUAUCAUUUGGGUGCCCUGAUAUCAGCUGAAAGGUUGAUGGCCAAACUGUUCAUUCCCAAUACAUGGAUUAAACAACCAAUAUCUCACUUUUCCUACUAUCAAUAAUCUGGUUGAACAUGCCUAAAAAAAGACACCAAGGAUUUUCUUCAAUUUAAAUCAUAAUUAGCAUGUUUUUUAUGGUUAAACACAAAUCAAGCCACCACACUUUCCAUUUAUUUCAUUCUUGCUAACUUAAUUUAAACAAAAGUUUCAGUAAGGUUAAAGUUUCUCCUAACUCAAUCAGAACUCAUGAAAUUCAAACGGUGACGUUAACCAUUAUUAUUUCAUGCGACACAUACCAAAAACUUAGAGCAUGUUACAGAUAGAUCUUCUUAGAUCGAAAUAAAACUAAACUGACUUGAAAAUUGACAAUAUAUUGUUCACACAAAACCAGAGCCUUCAGAUCCCAAUGGUCAGAUGGCGAGGAGCAUAAUAUAUCCAAAACCCAGUCCAAUCCAACGGCGAAAUACGAAGAUAUGAUCGUUUGAGUUUCUGCUCUUAAGGUAAUCUCCCCUCCCCCCUCUCAUUCAGUCAUCCUAGAUAUUUUCUACAUAAUUUUGCUAAUUGACUAUCAAUUCUUCACCGAUGAAUAAAUUCUCGUCGGAGUCUCUAAUCUCGAUCUCUGCCAUUUAGAAUGAAGAGUUCAUCAAUAUGACCAAUAUAUCCAAAAUUGAGCAGGAUCCAAUAGUGGAUGGAGGAGGAAACCGCCAGCGAUCGUGACUGACCUACAGGCAGGUUUUUCUUGAAAUGUUGCAAGGGCUAUAUGUCUCACACAAAACUAGAGCCUUCAGAACUCAAUAGUCAGAUGUUAGAGGGUUGUGAGGAGCAUAAUAUAUCCAAAAACCAGCCCGAUCCAACGGUGAAUACUGAGACAUGGCAGUUUGAGUUUCUACUCUCAAGGUACUCUCUCUCUCUCUCUCUCUCUCUCUCUAUCUCUCUCUCACUCAUUUGGCCAUCCUAGGUAUUUUCUGCAUAAUUUUGCUAUUUAUAUAGCAAAUCUAUCCAUAUUUACUAAAACACCCUUAUAUCAAGUUUGGGUACCUUUUUCAUUCAACCAAAUGCUUUUUCUCAGUCCGCUUUUAAAAUACCAUGUGAAGAAUCUUUCUCUCUAAAAUUUAUUUUCUAAUAAUUCAAUACUAUUCCAUUUUAUUUUAUUUUAACUAACCCAUCUCAUUUCCAGUUCCAAAUUAUCAAUAAUUAUAUUAACAUCAUAAAAUUUGAUCAGGGGUUUACAAUUUACCAUCAUUUCUAUUUUAUUUCUCACUAUUCAAUUCAUUAUGGUGAAGUCUUUUGUUGGGGUUUUACAAAAUUUCCACCAAGUCAUCCACAUAUUUAAAUUAUAAAUUGUUAGGGUUUCACAAUGUCUAAUAGAACUUUAUAAAUUGGAAUGCGUAAAACACGUUACGACAUGUUAUAAUAGAUGAGAAUUUGAUGAUAUCAUAUUGAAAAACAUAAAAGAAUAUUUUAUAAAGAAAAAGACAUAGGCUUCAGCCAUGUUGGAAGAAAAUAAAAAGAAGGGUCUUCAUAAAUGUAAUGGUAAUUAAUAGAUCCUCCUUAACAAUAUUUGAUAAUUGGGUGAAAUUGUAAUAGAUUGAAGACAUUACAUGUUAAUUUUGCUCUAUAUGAUCUUGGAAAUGAAUUGUGAUAAGGUCGAUGUCCAUGAAAUAGGUUAUGAUAUGAUCUUUUAAGAAAAGAACUUGCUAUUGACUUCCAUGUAUGAACUUGGGAAAAGAAACAUCGUAAUGACUUAGUUUUCAUUGAUGAUAUUUAAUGCUGUAAUGACUCAGUUUUCAAUGAUGAUUUUCAGUGCCGUAAUGACUCAGUUUUUGUUGAUGAUUUUUAAUAAAAUUGGAAUGGAUGUUUUAUUAAAACGUUAAUACCAUGCAAAGACUUGAAUAAUAUACAUGCAAAUAAAAGAUAUUUAUAUAUGUUUAUGUGCUCACAAUUAUGUGUGGAAAUAAUCUUUCACUAUGCCUAGAGAUAAUUAUUAAUUAAUGUCUCUUUAUGGACCAAGAGGUACAACAGGAAUUUAAUCUUCGAUCAUGCGAGGACACACUACGCGGGGGGGUAGGGAGGCGAUUUUCUCCUUCAUCUAAUCUGUUAAAUUAAUGAGGUAUUUUUUAUAAGGUAUUACCAUUUAAAUUCUGUUAUUUUAUUAACCAUGAAUUAUAAAGAAUAUUGAGAUUAGUUUCGGCUAAAAAUAUCCAUGAAUUGAAUAUUUAGGAAUAAAUAAAAAGAUUAGUUUUGGCUAAUGGUAUCCAUGUCGGAUAGUCCGGGACAAAUGAUAAGCUAAGGAUAUCUAUAAAUUGGAUAUUCAAGAAUAAACAAAAGGAUUAGCUUUGGCUAAUGGUAUCCGUGUCGGAUAGCGGAGAUCAAAUGAUAAGAUUAGCUUUGACUAAUGAUAUCCAUGUUGGAUGGCCGGAAACAAAUGCAAAGAUUAACUUUGGCUAAUGGUAUCCAUGUUGGAUAGCCAAGAGUAAACAUUAAAGAUUAACUUUGGCUAAUGGUAUCUAGGGCUGAGCAUUUUCGGUUCGGUUCGGUUUUGGACCAAAAUAAACAACCAAACCGAUUUUUUUUUUUUUAGUUUUGGAACCGAACCGAACCGAAAACCGGUUCAAACUGAUUAAUUUCGGUUCGGUUCGGUUCGGGUUUUUUCCCUUCCAAACCGAUUCAAACCGAAAUUACUCCGGUUGAUUUUUUUCUGGGCUUUCUAUCGACAACAUUUUUCAACACUUCUGUUUUGUACUUGCUUCCAUUUUCCAGAAAAUCAACUUCAAUUUUUGUUUUGAUAGAUCCUUGCCCAGAAGUUAAACCCAGCAAAAAAAUACACAAAACAAAACAAAAAAUAUAUCCCUGGCUGUGACUGCUUUCUUUGCAAUUAGGUUAGCUAGUCCGCUCUUUCCUGUUCUUCAAGCCCAAUGAGCUUAGGGUGUCGUUACACCCAUUCAAUUAGAAUAGAUCUUGAUUUAGUGUCCUUUCUUCCUAGGUUUUGGAAUUUCCUGAAUAGUGUGAAAUAAGAGUGGUUAGAAGUAGGAAUCGUUGGAACUAGAUGAAAGCCUAAGAUGGCCUCAAGAAGCGAUUUCAAACACUACUUAUAAAAUUUUGUAAUAGAAUAGCCUCAAGACUGGAAUUCUUAAACCUUUCUUUGUAUAUUCCCGCGCCGUCUGAGAUGAGAGAUGAGAGAUGAGAGACAGAGAACAUGGAGGAGAAGGAGACAGAUUUGAGAGAUGAGAGAUGAGAGGCUGAGAGCAUGGAGAAGAAGACAGUUUUGACUCAGAGAGCAUGGAGCAUGGAGAAGAAGACAAUGCACAAAACUUUUGAGAGAUGAGAGGCAGAGAGAAGGGAGAGGAGGCGGCUGAGAAAGUGAGAAUAGUGAUUUAAGUUUAGGUUAGGGUUAGAAAAUAUGCUAUUUAUACUCUCUCUUUUUUUCAAGAGCCAGCUUAGUUGAACCGGGCCGGUUCGAUUCGGUUCAAUCGGUUUCAGAUUUUAAAAACCAAAACCGAACCGAACCGAACCGGAAAUAUUUUGUGAUUUUCUAAUCGGUUUAAUCGGUUUUUUUUUACGGUUCGGUUUUUUCGAUUAUUUUUUUUCCGGUUUUCUCGGUUUUCUCGGUUUUUCAGUUUUUUUGCUCACCCCUAAUGGUAUCCAUGUUAGAUAGCCGAGAGAAAAUAAUAUGAUUAACUUUGGCUAACGGUAUCCAUGCUAGGACAACCAAAAGUAAACAUUAAGUAUAGUCUCAAUUGAUAGUAUUCAUCGAUAUGAUGAAAGGAUGAUAAUAAUAUAUUAUUAUCGAUCAGAAAUCAUGUUUUAAGAACCUAUAUUAAUUUAUUAUAAUUAAAGAUGAAUAAUUUAUAUAAUGAAGAAUUCUCUAUAUAUGAAUUCAUAGAUUAUAUUAUAUAUCAUUGGUUGAUUGUUGGACAUAAAUUAAGGUGAAGUAACGAGGACUAUUGUUGUAUGAAGAUGUGAAGUAAUGCAUUCAAGAUAGACCUAGUAAAAAGUGAUUAAUGUGAACUUGCUUCAUUAGAUAUUAAUCUUAAUUGUGACUAUAUGUUUUAUUACUCAAUUGUACCAUAAUUAAUGUUUAUACUCUUACAUCAAAUUUAAUUUGUAAUAGGAUCAUCUCAUAACCAUGAUGUAUAGCAAUCUCAUAGUAUCUAUAUUGUGAAACUGAAUGAUCAUGUAAUAAUCUAUUUAGUAGUAAGAAUGAACGACUCAUAUUUUGUAAAAUUGUAUGAUAUCGAUAUUCGAAUUUAGGAUAUGUAAAUUAUGGUGUUUUGAUAAGCUUUAUAUUUUGAACAUGAUGUAUAUGUACCUCUCCUUCCUAUAAUACUAUUAUAUCUUAUGUGUAUGUAGUCUAUAUGAAUGCUCAGAUAUGUUUGGCUAUUAACAUGAUAAAUGGUAUAAUGAAAUAUACAUUUCUAAGAAGUUAAGUAUAUAAUUUAAGAAUCAUUUGCAUUAAACAUUAUGCUAAAGGACAAUGAUAUGUGUGUGUAUCAAAAAUAUUUGGAAUUUUACUGGCUUUUAUAGUUGGUAUCAGAGCUCCUAGCUUUGAUCCUAGAGAAUCUAAAGUAAAUACUUAUAAGUAUUGCCUAUUUCAGGGUGGUAUGUACUUGGCAAAGAACUCUUGUUGAACCAACCUUUAUAUAAAGGGGAAAUAAAGGCAAGGGUGCUGAUAAAUAGCAAGAGAAAAGUCCUCUAGAUGAUAUUGCUUCUCAUGUACUAGUAGUGUCAUUUCAGUCCAGGCAAUGAGAAUCAGUAGGAGUUUAGAAUGAACAUACUCUGAAAUAAAUGUACCCCCUCCGACGACACCAAUAAGAGUAUCCACGCCUUAUGUUGACCCAGUAUUCCUUGUACACAUAGUCAAGGUAGUAAUAGAAGGUAUGGCCAGUACUACAACUCAUGCAACCCCAACUGUACCGACUACACUAGCAAAUCUAGAAAUUUCUACAAUCACUGAUAAUGUAGCACUACUGGUUCAACUAGUUAAAAGUAUGAGAGAAAUAGGUUGCAAACCUUAUAUGGGGGAGCAGGAUGCAAAAAUAGUUGGAAGAUGACUCGGGAAAGUGGAGAAAACGAUGAUUUAAAUUAAAAUACCUGAAGAUUUAUGGGUAAAUGAUGCUACACAAUUGUUAUCUGAUAGAGCUAUAACAUGGUGGGAAAUAGUCCAGUUAAGAUGUGCUAUAGAAGCAUUGACCUAAAAUGACUUCAAAUUCAAAUUUGAAAAUCAAUUUUACUCCCCGCAAAGUGAAAGAACAAUAAUUCUUAGCCUUAACACAAGGGAAGAUGUUUGUGCUAGAAUAUGAAAGUGAUUUCAUGAUCUCUCAUUAUUCGCCUCACGUUAUGUUUCGACCGAGGAACAUAUGAUAGAAAAACUAAAGGAUGGUUUUUGUCAGGACUUAAGGCAAAUAUUAAUUGCCCUACAAUUCAAGAUGGUGAGAUAGUUAAUCGAAGCAACACAAGCAUUGAAAGUAUGCAUUGGGGAAGGCCAUCAGGGUCAGUAUAGGAUUGUCAAAGAGAAAAGAUAAUGAAUUUUCUGCGAAUAGGCAACCACUCUCGAAAAAAGGUAAAACUGGAUUGUUUAAUCAAUUUAAGAAGAAAAUGGGGUAUCAGUAUGUUCUCACCAACAUACAGGUAGAGGAAUGAUGGGAGGACAGAUACACUCGAGGGUUAACCUUUUAGGGGGAUCAUUAACCAGAAAAAUGUUAUGUACCCUUUUUGUGUACAUUGUGAAUAGAGAGACACCCCAAUUAUUGUUCGGUCUCCCCGAACCAAUGUUUUAUAUGCCUAGGAGAGGGUCAUAGAUGGAGAGCUUAUCAGUAUCUAAGACAAGGAUGUUUUGUUUUAGUGAAAAAGGACACUUCAAAAGAGAGUGCCAUCACAAAAUCUCUGGGCAAUCACAGAAUGUGAAGCAAACAAGUCAGAGUCAUCAACGGUCUAUCAUAAUGAAUAGACCCAUGAAAUCAACACAGUCAAGGGCUAAUUCUAAUCAGGAGCUUGUCAAUAUUUAACUUAUUUAAUGUUUGAAACUUGAUUAUUAUAGUAGUUUAACAUUGGGUAAAGCUUUAAUUUGAGGGGGGAAAAUCAUGCCUCCACCUUAACUAUAGGGUUGGUCAUAUGUGAUGCAUGGAUAGGGAAAAUAGUUUUUAAAAUUUAUUUUUUAAUUGUAUUGUGGAUUAUAUUAAUACUCAAACGAUGAUAAAUAAUGAGGAAGAAUUGAAAGAGAACAAAAGGGGACUCACAAUUUCCUUUAUUGAUCAUGCCAACUAAUAGGCUAUAAAAAGGUGGGGAAAGGAAAGGUAUAUGGAUGAUGUGUGAAAUUAUCAUAGAAAAUGUGUUUGAAUUAAUUUGGGUUUAAUCGACAAAGAAUUUUGAAUAUUGAAAUGAAAAUAUAUAGGUGUAUGUAUGAUUUCGGGAAAUAAAAAUUGAAGAGUGUUAAUUUAAGAAAAGUUGUGUAAUGAUUCAAUGAUUUUGGGGAAAAAGAAAAAUGAUUAAUGAUGAUGAAAUUAUCCUGUGAUGGCAGGGAAUACUACUGCAAGCAUGCCACAGUUUAGAGUAGAAGCUAGGACAUCACGCAAUACAGGUAGGUUCUAACCUAUAGCAUAAUUAUCUAAGGCAUUGUUUAAUUAUGAAAUGCAAAUUUAUUACAAUUUUAUUUGAUAUUGAGAGUAUUUGGUUUAGAGAUAAUGAAAUAAAUAAAUAAAUAAACAAUUGAAGGAGAUCCCGACUUGAUUAGUCAUUCCUGAAAUUAGGAGACUAAUGAUAUCAAUAUAAUUUAUUGAUAUCAGCACUUUUCAAAUUUGAUUAGUCGUUCCCAGAAUUGAAAAACUAAUGAUAUCAAUAUAAUUUAUUGAUAUUGACACUUUCUAAACUUUAUUAGUCCUUCUCGAAAUUAAAAGACUAAUGAUAUCAAUAUAAUUUAUUGAUAUCGGCACCAUCUGAACUUGAUUAGUCGUUUCUAAAAUUAGAAGACUAAUGAUAUCAAUAAAAUUUAUUAAUAUCGGCAUUAAUCGAGAUUUGAUUAGUUGUUCCUAGAAUUGAGAGAAUAAUGAUAUCAAUAUAGUUUAUUGAUAUCAACAUUAAUCAAGAUUCAAUUAGUUGUUCCUGGAAUUGGAAGACUAAUGAUAUUAAUAGAUUUUAUUGAUAUUAGUAUUAAUUGAGAUUUGAUUAGUUGUUUCGAGGAUUGGGAGACUAAUGAUAUUAAUAAAUUUUAUUGAUAUUGGAAUUAAUUGAGAUUUAAUUAGUCAUUUCUGGAAUUGAGAGUUUAAUGAUAUCAAUAGAAUUUAUUGAUAUUGGCAUUAUUCAAGAUUUGACUUGUUGCUUCUGGAAUUCAGAGACUAAUGAUAACCAUGAUAGACAUUGAUAUGCGUAUAUUUUAUAUGGACCAUAUAUAUAUAUAUAUAUAUAUAUAUAUAUAUAUAUAUAUAUAUAUAAAGGAGAAUGGUUAAGGAAGAAUUUAAAUAUAAUUCAGUUGUAUUAAAUUAUUUAAGUGAUUAUUCUUAAUUAACAUAUCAUAUGUUGCAUUCUUUUCAGGGUCAUCACAUUCAUGCUAGGAGUAGAUUACUUCUGCAUCUCUUGAUUAUAUAAGCCAGAUUCAGGAUAUGCAUUUUGAACAAUAAUAUUAUUUUGCUUAGCAUGUAAACAUAUAUGCUCAUAUUUUAUGGAUUGUAAUUAUCUAACCUAAAUGCACUUUAACACUUAUGUAUGUUGUAUUUAAUAUCAAUUUCUUAAGUAUAUGGAAUUAUUGUACUUUGUAUAUAUAUGGAUAUAGUUGUUAAAUAUAUUUGUAUGGAUGAAGUUGUUUUGAGAAACAUUGAUUGGUGGAGGGAAAUGAUCUACGAUGAUUGAAUCAAGUAGAUGAAAUUGUGUUGAAAUGUGAAACAGUUUUAAUCGAUAACUUUGGACUUUCCAUUAUAGGAGAAACUCUGUCAAAAUUUCAUCAAAAAUUUGAGUGAAAUUUUACAUAUACAUUUGUUUUUUUUAAAAAAAAAUUGCUUGUAAAUCUUCCUGAUAAUAAUUAGGAAUGUUACAUGUAGUGUAUAAGUUAGUAUUUCCCCCAUAUUUGACCAAAAUUCAUGAUGUGUUCUAUAUCGAGAGCUACUACAAAAAGCCGAUGUGGAUCCUUCACGAACACUACCCCAGGUUCCUUUAGAAAUUGAGGAAGAUUUAACUCUGGAAGUAAAGCAAGUAAAGGUGUUAAAUCAAAUUGAAAAGGAACUCAAAAAUAAAAAGAUUUAUAUGAUAAAAGUAUUAUGGAGAAGUUUUAAAAUUGAGGAGAAAACUUGGAAAAGAGAAUUGGAGACGAGAAAUAAGUAUCCCAAAUUAUUUUUAGACUCAGGUACGAGAAUCAAAUUUCGAGAAAAAAAUUUUAUUUAAGGAGGGAAGAAUGCAAAACCCUGUUUAAAAUUUUUUUUUUCUUUUCGAGUUAGUAAAAUAUAAAAUUUUAAUUUUGGAGAUAAAAUAGGUUACAUCACAUUAAGGAAAAUCUCAUGGUGAUUUGAGUAAAUAAAACAAUGUGCAAGAUUCAUAUUUUUUUAGUGUAAAAUCACUAACUAUCCAAUUUUACGAUAUUAAACAUAUCUUUCAAUCCGACUAUUGAAUCAAGUCAAAAUUUUAUGAGUUUUCAGAUUUAAUAUUCUAUCUGGGAUUAACAUUUCGAGAAAAUCCAAGUUUGAAAAGAUUUUGAAAAACAGUGAUGACCAGGUAUACAAUAAUAAAAUAUUAAUUAAGUGGGGACCAAGUUGUGAUUAUGGAACAUUUAGGGCAAUAGUGUAGUAAAGUGAAACGAGGGUGAUUAAAUUGUGAAUGGCUUCUCCUUGAAACGAUUCAUGUCUAGCAACAGUGUGUGAGUAAAACAAAGAGGGUUUCGUCAAUAUAUUUGAUCUUUACCAUAAAUUCACCCAUUUAAACACUACAUAAGAGUGGGUAAAGGAAUAAAAAAAAAAGGUGUAUGAGGGAUUUGAGCUGAUAAUUGAAGUUUUCUUGGAGUCUUGAAGGGCAAAAAGUGAUGGGUUGGGAGCACAAAAAUAAAGGAAGAAGAAAACUUGUUUUCAUGAUCUUUUUUCUUCAAAUCUCUUGUGUUUAAGAGGUGAGAAACCUUGAUUCAAACUUGGUUUGAGUUUAUUUUGUGAAAUGAUACAUUUUAGGUGAAAUAUGCAUGAUGAAAAUUUGGAAUUUCUUGAAUUAUUAUUUAAAUUGAUGGUAUUGUGUUUGAAUGAUAUUCAUAAGAAUAAAAUAUGAUUAGAUAAUGAUUAAAUUGGAAGAAUUGAAGAGAAAAUCUACCCCCUUCCAUCAUUGUGAUGGGUUCGAACAAGAAAAAAAAAUAAGAGUGGGAUUAAUUGAUGAAAUUGUUAUGUAAUUUGCAUGGAAUUAUGUUUUAUGAGUAUAUAAGAUAUGGGUGAUACAUGAAUAUGGAUAAUUAAAAAGAAAAAAUUCAUCCUCUUAUUAUUAAGGAAUUCGGCCAAACACUAAUGUUUAAAGGAUGAAGUUUUUAAUUGUCUUAAUAGGUGGAUUAUGUUUAAAUGGGUAAUAUAAAUGUAUAAGGGAUGAAUAAAAUAUGGGUGUGUACACACACACACACACAUCUUUCUAUGAUUUUAGAGUGUGUGUGUGUAGAUGUUAUUCUUUAAGGGAUGAAGUUUUUAAUUGUCUUAAUAGGUGAAUUAUGUUUAAAUGGGUAAUAUAAAUGUAUAAGGGAUGAAUAAAAUGUGGGUGUGUACACACACACACUAUUUUAGUGUGUGUGUGUGUGUGUGUGUGUGGAUUUUAUUCUGGGGAUUUAGGAAUGGAUCUAACAAUUAUAAUAAAAUGAUAGUGAUAAAUUUAUGUUAUGUUAAGAGGAGAUACCACCGCUGCCAGAUUACUGGCCGGAGUAGAAGCAGGGACUUCAUAUGUAGCAGGUUGGUGUUAGAUACCUUAAUCACUUUUAAUUAAUUAAUAAAAGUUAAGCAUGCAACUAAAAAUUUGUUUAAAUUAUAAUUUAUGUUGUCAAAUAAUAUGAUAAGCUAAUUAUCUUGGUUUUGAGACUAGCACUUGGUUUGGACAUGUUGAGCUAGUUACUCUGGUUUAAGGACCGGUGCCCGGAUUAGGGCAAUGUGGUUGAGUACCCUGAAUAAAAGGUCUAUACCCGGUUUUGAGAUAAGGUAAAACUUUAUCAUGGUAAUGAGUUAGAUGUUCAAGGGAGGACAAAAAAUUAAAUAACGUAGAAUUUGUGAAAUCUCUCUAGGGUUGACUUAAUUAAGUUGAAUUAAAGAAAUUUACUUAACACAUUUUAUACAUUAUGUUAUAUCCAAGUGUAGUUAAUUAUGUGUGAAUAAUUUUUCAGAUACCUCAUAAGAGCAUGUUGAUCCAUAACUCCUCAAGAGUUGUAUUUUUGUUUAGAAAUUGCAAUAUAACUAAUUAUUAGGUCAUAUUGAAAUGAAAAUAUUUUUUUUGGGCUUGUACUAAAAUGUUAGAUGAUAUUUCAAAUGAUAUAAGUUAAUUAACUUGAAAGUUUGGAUGAUUUAAUUUAUAUUUUGCAAUAUGUUCACUUUAAAACCUUAAAUAGAAUACGUCAUGUACUGAUUUGCCAUUAAAAUUCAUGUUAGGUUAUAAUUUAUAAAUAUUUACAAAAUAUCUUUUUAAAGAUAUUUAUAAAAAAUGUUUGAAUAAAUCAUAAAAUAAAAAUGUUAAAGUUCAAUUAUUGCAAGACAUUGAGAAUGUCAGAGUCCCAAAUGGUGGGAUACUAAAUGGGUGAAAGCCCCGGAUGAUGGGAUAAAUGUUGAAAUCUUUAUCUCUAGGUUAUGAAAACUGGUUAAGUUGAUAGCUUGAUAUUGAAAGAUUAGAGAAAAUUCUGCUGAAAUUUUGGCAGAAAAAAAUUCUUGUAUUUUAAAUGUUAAUACAACAUGUAUACAUGGAAUAUUGUGUAAAUAAAUUGAGGUCGUUACAUAUGUGACCAAUGUUCAUUCAUUCCACACUUAUAAUGUAUAUUUUUUCAUCUUUUUAAUGUCUCCACUAUGUAUAUUCUUUCUAUUUUCUUGUUUCUCCUUAUUUUGUGAAGGUUUGUUAGAAUUAUUACCAUCAUAGCUGUCAAAAUUAAUCCGUCUUUGCUCAUGGCCACAUCCACGGACUGUACUACGACCAUGAUCAUGACCACAACCAUAAUUACUAUUAUUUCUCGUAGCAUUCACUCCAAGGAAUGGAGUUGAACCAGUUGUUCGUGAUACAUAUUUUUUUUAUUAUCAAAAGCUCAUUAUUUUGUCCAACCACAAGGAGACAUGAAAUUAGUUCAGAGUAUUUCUUAAAACCUCGUUCUCUAUAUUGCUGCUGCAGAAGCACAUUCGAGGCAUAGAGAGUAUUUUUUGUCUAACACAUCUCAUCCGUGAUAUUAUCUCCAUAUAAUUUUAAUUUGGAACUGAUAUUAAACAUUUCAGAAUUAUAUUCACUUGUCAAUUUAAAAUCAUGCAAUCGUAAAUGUAUUCAAUGCUUUUGGGAGAAUAAGUUUCCUUUAAUAGUCAUAUCUUUCUUUCAAGUUUUUCCAAAGAAUAAGGGAAUCUUUGAUUGUGAGAUACUUAAUUUGCAAUUCCUUGUGAAGAUGAUGACCUUAGAAAAUCAUGAUAUUUGCCUUAUUUUGACUAGAUUUUUUAUUGUCAGCUUUAAUGAUGUCUUCGAGACCCAUGACAUCUUGAUGAAUUUUGAUAUCAAGGACUCAUGAUAAAUAAUUCUUAUCCGUAAUAUGAAGUGUCGUUAACUCAAGUUUAACAAGAUUUGUCAUGAUUACUUCAUGAAAAAUAUUAAGAUUGUUAGAAAUUUAGCUUAAACAUUAUAAUAGAUAUUGAAUAAAUUUGUUAUGAAUUUCAAAAAAGAAAAUGAUUCACUUAAAUAACUAGAAGGAAAAAAAUUAAGUAGAUAAACUAACAUUCCAUUUUUUAUCCAUAAAUCAAAUAUGAUUAUCCGCUUCAAAAUGAAAGUAAGGAGCAAUCAUGCUAAUGAUGUUUUAUAAAACUAUAUCUUUAGAAACAGACAAAAUACUUAAUAAAAAGUAAAUAACAUAAAUAAGAACAAUAAAGAUUGGGAGAACAUAAAUAAGGAGCAAUCAUUCAUAUUUAUAUAGUCUUGUAAAUGUCGUCAUAUACACAUCAUCUCAACAAUGUUUUUAUUUAUGAUCUAAUGUACAUUAAUACUUCUAAGCCCAAGAAUUAUAGAUAUAGAGUUCAAAUAAAUUUAAAGAUGAUGAAUAAACAUGAAGAUUAAAAGAUAAAAGAACAUUAUAAUAUAUGAUGUCAUAAUAAAUAUGAUUAUCAAAUUAGAAAAGAAAGAAAACGAGUGCAGGGACCGAAUCCACUCUAAACCAUAGCUAUUAAACCUAGACCGGGGGUUAACCUGACCAAGGGGCCGAGUCCUGGGUCACACGGAUUGACCCAGAUUGACCCAGGUCAAUAAAAUAAAAAUUUAAGGUUUGAAUAUAAAGUUUUUUUUAUCUUAUAUUAGAAAGAUACUAUUUUAUCUUUUUAAAUUGAAGUAUUUAAAUAAAAAGAUUUUCUUAUCCCAUAUUGAAAAAAACACAACUCUUUUCUUGUUACAUAAAGUAUAUAUGUAUGUAUGUAUGUAUGUAUAAAACAUUCUGUAGUGUUUAUAUAGUGAACUUUGUUGUGGGUUAGUAACUAACAAGAAAAUGAUGGUAGGUUCGCUCGCAUAAGGUUUGGCCAAGAAAGAAGAAAACCUUUGAUUGCUCCCCAUACGUGUGAGGCAAAGUCUAUGCUUUUUAGAUCCUUUAUCUUCAUUGAUAAUUUUGUUUAUAUCUCCAUUAACUAAAACCACUACUUUUUAUUGUUGUCCAUCCCUAGCUAAUGUGGUUAUUUUUUAUUGCUUUCCAUCCCAACUUGAACUACAUUGCUUAUCUGGUAGUGUUCAUUGGCAUGCUAAAACAAACUAUAAAUUUGAUUUUUCAGUUUGUUAAAUGAAAUGCUUGCAUUGAAAAAAAUAUUAUUACAUGUUAAAAUGUGUAUAAGUAAGAAAAUAGGGAGAAAGGUUUAUGCCUUUACAAAAAAAACAUGGACAUGAAAAAAAAAAUUGUCUCUUCCGGGUUUAUUAAGUUACCUGAAUUUUAAGUUGUUUAGACAGUUUUUUCCUGGUUAAUUAUAGGCUUAGCCUCAAAUCCCUGUCAACCUAUCGGACAUAAUCGAGUCCAACAACUAUGCUCUUAGGGCCUGUUUGGGAUUGUGAUAGCGGUUGCAGUUUAAAGUAUUUUUCGCUUAGAAAUACAUCAAAAUAAUAUAUUUUUUUAAUUUUUAAAAAUUAUUUUGAUAUCGGCAUAUCAAAACAAUUUGAAGACAUUAAAAAAAAUCACAAAAAAAUUAAAAUUUAAAAUAAUACGCUUUGCCAUAGUUUUGAAACCCGACCCGAUCAUCGACCCGGUCCAGUGAUCGGGUCAUGAGUCAGAUGGGUUGACCUGGGUCAACCAAAAAAAAACACCUAUAUAAAACACCUAACUAGUUACAAAUUUACAAUGCAACACUUACAUAAACCAAAUUUAAAUUUUAAACCAACAACAUAAAUUUAAUUCAAUAUCCAAAACACAAACCAAAUAUAAAUUCUAAAAUAUUUAAAACAAAAUAUCCAACAACAUAAAUUCUAAAUCAACAACACAUUCACUUUGGUUGAAUGAACACAUUAAGUUCUUCUGUGUCCAUGGGAGCAAAAUUUGGAUUAAAUGUCGAUGGAAUUGAGCCAAUCUCGUCAACACCUAAUAAAUCAUCAGCAUGCUCCUUUGAAACUUCAUCGUCACAAUCAUCUUCAAUCUCAUUAACAUUUAUGACAUUUAUAUUUCAAACACAAUUAACAAAUAAAUAUUAUGUGUUAAACAAUACUUUAUUUUAAAUAAUAUUUAUCACUAAAUAAUCAAUCAUUAAUUACCAUCAUCUAAAGUAUCUUGUAUGGUCAUAGUUGAUAGAGCUUGGUGAAAACUCUCUGCUUCUUCAGUUGUCAAAAUUGACGGGUCAUCUUCCACUACCCAAUUUUCAAUGUCACAAAUUGUCUCAACAUUAAUUGGAUCAUAAUUUCAUCCUUUCCAAUAAUUCCUAUAUAUUAAAAGUGAAGGUUAACAUAAUAUAAGUAUUAAUAAUGCUACUAAAUAAGAUAAAAUAAUAUUUAAGGAAUUAGAGAAAAGAAAAAUAUUUUUGUUUCAAUCUUAGAUUGCAGUGGACGUAAACAAGGUCGUUAAGCCUUUGGUGCUCCAAUCUAUUUCUCUUCUUGGAGUGAAUAUGUUCAAACAUACUCCAAUUUCUCUCGUAUCCCGAAGAACUACAUGUUUGACUUAACACUCAUAUAACCAACUGUUGUAGAUUUGGAGCACUAGUUCCAUAUGUCAUUCACCAUUCAUCUAUACAAAAAUAUAAUAAGUAAGAGUGUAAGACUGUCAAAUAAUAUUUUUAAAUAUAAAAAUUAUAUACCUGGAGGCAUAAGGGUGCGAUUAUUUAUUGAGGACGCUCAACCAAAGUCAUGUUCAGCAUUCCUAAACAACUUCAUCUCACUUGUAAUCUUACUUUGCAAUGAUAGAUUUCCAUGUGCAUACUUCUCAAGAACAUCUAGAAGUCCAGAAAUGGUGCUCAUAUGUUUAUCCAAUAUAUUUGCAUUAUAUUGAAAUCGAGAAUUCAACCAAAAUGCCGCUGCAUAAAGAUUUCUAUAUAGUUGUCCAUCCUACCGAUUAUUGAUAAUGUCUAUGAAAGGUUUCACUCUAGCCUUUCUCUUUUGAAAUCUCCUCAUCAUUUCUUCUUUUGCAUGAUGAAUAGCAUCAUACAAAUAUCCCAUCGAAGGUCUAUCAUUACCAUCAACCAUUCGUAGAACUCGAACUAAAGGUUCACUCAUUCGCACAAUUAUUGCACAUUCUUCCCAAAACAGAGAGUCUAGUACACUCUCAACAAAAUUUUUUCCUUUGCUAUCUUUAGCAUAAGCAGAUGAGACUCAUUCCCUAGAUGUCACCAUAGCUCUCAACUCAUCUUUAUGAACUAAAAUGCUUUGCAAUACAAUGAAAUUUGUAGCAAAACAAGUAGGAGCUGGACUUCCUCCGGUGAACUUCCUCAUCAAAUACAAUGGAUAACAAUGAUUAUAAAUAUAUUUUGUGAUACCAUAAGCAUGCUCAACAACACAACAAACUGACUGCAAUUUACCAAUGUCCUGGAGUAUGAGGUUGAUGCAAUGAACAGCACAAAGAGACCAAAAUAUUGAAAGAAAUUCUUCCAUCAAUAACCUGCCAGCAGCAACAUAAUUUGAAGCAUUAUCAGUCACCAUAUGCACAAUGUUUUCUACCCCAACAUACAAAACAACCUCUCUGAACAACUGAUAUAACAAUCUAGUAGUCUUUGAGACAUCUGAUAUAUCCACAGUUUUCGAAAAAAUUAUUCCUUUAGGACAAUAUACUAAGAAGUUAAUUAAAGUCCUCCUCUUCUGAUCUGUUCAUCCAUCAGCCAUUAAUGUGCAACCAGUCUUUUUCCAAAUCUCUCGAUAACUCUCAACAUAAAUCUUCACUUCAUCAACCGUUUUUGCCAAGUAAUAACCACGAAUAGCAUGUAAAUUUGGUCCUUUAUAACCAGGACCCAUGGCUGUUACAACAUCUAUGGCAUGUUGAUAAUACACAGAGUUAACAGCAUUAAAUGGCACACAUGCAUCAAUCAUCCACUUUGCUAAAGCAAGAUCACACCGUUCAACUGCUUCUUUCCUUUGCCAACAAUUCUGAAGAGACUUUUGAACACCAGGAGUUGUUCUCGGCAUGAAAUAUGUCCUUAAUGUUGCAGAUUUCUUCUGUUUUCCAUAACUUGUAGUCGAUUGUUUUACAGUGCUGGUGCUUUGAAUCUUUUUAUUUUUUGCAACCUUCGGUGGUAACAUAUGUUUUUUAGUAUUGACAUCCUCAUCAUCAUCGUCAUCUUCUAAUUGCCUAAUCAUCAUCUCUUCAUACUCCCUUUGUUGUGCAUUAAACGGAUUAAAAUCUGCUUGCAUUUCUCUAACUCUUUUUUUUUCAGCAUUUCCUUUAAGAUUCAAAAGCAUUUGAUGUCGAACAUCAUGAGGACAUUUGCGACGUUGUUCAACUUCUCCUUUAGCUCCAGCUAAAUGUUGCUUAAAUCGAUUAAUGCCACCACCCGCAAAUACGUUAGCACAAUAUAAACAUAUUAAGGCCAUGUUUAUUUCCUGGAAAGUGGUUUCCGGUUCUAAAUUUUCCUGUGUUUGUUUGCCAUUAGAAAAGUUGGUCAACGAAAAACACUUUUCAGUCAAAGGAAAAUUUGGCUUGGUUUCCAGGAAAGUGUUUUCCUGGAAAAUUUGGGCGGAAAACACUUUCCGGAAGUUGUGAAGAAUUUAGAAAUGUCAUAUUAUUUGUUGAUUAUAUCAAAUUUGGUCCUCAAACUUUUGAUUGCUAUAUAUAUUUUGUUUUGAAUAUUUAUUUUUCAAUUUCAUCUCUUAAAAUUUAAUUUUUAUAUUAAUUUUACUCCUCAUUUUUAUAAUUGUUAUUUGCUUUUCCCUUAUCAUUUUCUUAUUGAAAUUUUUUAUCUAUAAAAUUUGGUCCUCAUUCUUUUGAUUGUUACUUAUUUUAUUUGAAAUAAUUUAUGAAAUAUUAAUUAUUAUAAUUUUAAUUUCUUCAUCUUUCAUUUUUAUUUUAUUUUUUAGAUUUGAUUUCUAUUAUUUUGAUUAUUAUUUAUUUUAUUUGAGAUAAUUUAUGAAAUUAUAUUUUUUUUCAAUUUCAUCCUCAUUUAACUUUUUAAUUUGUAAGAUUUGUUCCUCAUUAUUUUAAUAAACUUGAGAAAAUAAAAACAUUAAUAAGUUAUUUUCCAACUCAUUUUCCAUGACAUAACCAAACACUAGAAAGUGUUUUCCAACUUAUUUUUCAUUACACUACCAAACAUCAGAAAAUAAUUCACUUUCCUGAAAUUCACUAUCCCAGAAUUCACUUUUCAAAAGAAAACUAUUUUCCAGCAAACAAACGGGGCCUAAUUUAGUUUUUUUACAUCCAACACUAAGUUCAGGAGCUUCUCUACAAUGACCCCAUGCCAAAUCUGUUCUUCCUCUACUACCACUUGACAUGGAAAUUGAAGGUUGAGAUGAUUGGGUCGUUGAAGGAUCACUACUUAGAGUACUACCAUCAUGUAAAGACAUUUUAAGGACCUGAUAUAAUUUAUAAGAGGGAAUAUAAUUUCAAGCCAAAUCAUAUACUUUUAUUAUAUAAUGAAUAAAUGACUUCAGUAUUUGUUUUUUAGAUUAUUUUCUUAUCUUGAGAAAAUUUUGUUUCCUAAUGGAACCUUGCAAGGAUACUAGACAGAGGGAAAGUAUUUACGGAAAAAAUCAAACACUGGAUGGCCUAAUAUGAUCGUGAUGAGCCUGAAGGUUAAAUUAAGCCUGAAGGUUAAAUUAUUAGUCAACUAAUAUGAUCCUGAUUCCUGAAGGUUAAAUUAAUAGUUAACUAAAAUCAACUAAAAUGCCAGUAAAUGAUCCUGAUUCCUAAAGGUUACAAAAUUAACUAAGCACAACCGACUUAAGCAGAACAGUAACAAAAUUAACCAAUUUGCAGAAGCAAAAGCAAAAGCAGAACAAACAAACAGGGACAUCAAAUUCAAUCACUCCAGCAGAAGCAAAAACAACUAAUUUGCAGAAGCAGAAGUAAAAGUAGAACGAAUGAACAGUGAAACAAAAUUCACAGUAAAAUAGAAUAACAAGUCAAGAGGUUUCUCAUCAUAUUUGUUCCAUGUCUGAGCAAUAUUCACAGCAAAGUUCAGGUCUUUGACCAUUUGAAGUCGCAGAAAAAUAAAAGAACAUAGAAAGUGAGAUACAUACAUGCGGAGCUUGAUGCAACCAUAUUAUUCGAUAGUUUCACCCACAUUUAACUAGUGUUUUGCCUAUGUUUUAUAUAUAAAAUGUCUUAAUAUUCUUUGUUUUAUGUUUUGAAGGCACUUUUGGAUGAAAGAUGCAAAAAUGAGUAAAUUAGAGAUAAUUGGCAGAUUUGACCUUCAGUCGAUGUUUUGUGCAAAGCGUGAGCUCUAGAGUUUGAAAUGACGUGAUUCCAGUGGCAUUAAAAAGAUAACAUCCAUACCUUUCUGGACAUCUAAGGUAAGAAAAUAAAAUAAGGAAGAGCAUGGAAAUCGCAGCCUUCAAAGUCAAAUCUCGCAAUCUGCCAAUGUUGACCUUUAGCCAUUAGAAAUUCAAUAUCUGGAGCCAUAGAAGUCCAAUUGAUGCAAACUCAAUUUUGUUGGCUUCCUGACUAACAUUCCUAUAAACGCACAAAAUUUCAGUCAUAUGAGGGAGAUAUGAUUUUUCAAAGAUGACAACUGAAUUAUGCCAGCAAACAGGUUUCGUGAAGAAACGAGUCCAAAUUACGUUCUGAAGCAUCUAAAUCGAUAUCCAAGUUUUUAUUUCAGCAAUUUAGCUCCUCUAAGUCAAAGCUUGAAGAUUUCAUACAAGGCUAUUUCUUCUUUUCUAGGAAAAUAGUUAUUGAAGUACUUAAAUGUAAAUAGUCUACUUAAGGGAGGACUAUUUUGUAAAAUAGAGACUAGGGUUUCCUAUGAUAUAAAAAGAAUGAGAGAAGAGAAGGGGAGCAGCCAGCCAAGAGGAGAAAAACACCCCCCUCCUCUAAGAAACUCGAAAUCAUGCAUUUCUCUUUCUUUUUUAUUAGUUGUUCAACAAACAUGCAAGGCUUCAGAUUUCAAGAACUGUGAGAUUUAUUUUACCUUUUCUUUUCAGUUUAUAUGAUGAAUAUGUUUGUUCUUCUAUGCUUAUUUUUCCUAUGAUUGUUUAUUUUAAUUGCUAGAGUGGACUCUAAGUUAUUAUUGUAGACAAUCUAUUGCUAAGUUUGAUAUCAAAACCGGAGUUUUGGUAUAUGAACUUGUGAAGCAACUGAGUUUAAUAAUUGUGACGGAUCUACGUUAUUAAUCUUAAGGAGAACAUUCAAUCAAAUCAAACAUAGACUGCGGACAGUUAUGUUUUCUUGAUUAAUCAACUUAUCUAGUUCUUAAGGCUGCCGUUGAAUUAAAUUACUAGUGCGGACACUGUGGUUGUUUGAUGGUUAGGGUUAGUUAUACAGCGGAUCCGUUAACUAACCAAUGUUAAGAAGAGAUAAAUAUUCAGAAUAUAAAUUGAUGUUUCGUUUCCAUGACCAGUUCUGUUUUGUAUAGGUGGAUGUGUGCUUGCAACCAAGGUUUGUUCUCUUGAUAAUUUUCUGAUUUUAUUAAAUUUCGUUUGAUAGUUUUCUGCUUUCUUUUGCUUUAGCCUAGAUAACGUCCAACCCCCCCCAAAAAUUGCAUAUCAUUUAGCAUAAAAAUCUAACUCGAAUCUUCCUCGUGGGAUCGACCCCUUGCUUGCUCUAUACUAUCUUGUGUGUUCUGUUUGAAGCUAGGGUAAUUAAUUUGUGCGACCGCGACAUCGCAAUAGAGCUGCAAGCCUGCAAGUUCAAAACAAAUGGGUCAACAGAGGGAAGAAUCGAUGCCACUGUUAUAGUAAAGCUCUCCUACAAGUUCAACAGAGGGAAGAAUCUUUAAAACAGAGGAUAUGCCACUAUUAUAGAAAAGAGAGAGCGAAAGAAGAAAGAAACAAGUAACAACAACUCAUCUAACCUUAUUCUCAUAUUUGAAACAAUGAUCAAGGAUUCAAGAGUCUUCUGCUCCUCUACUCUUCUUCGCGACUGAAAUGGGUUUAAAGAUUUCUUGAAUUAGCUUUGAAAUUAAUUAGGUCUUCUGCACUGCGUUCGUGACUUCGUUCCUCUGCUCUUCUCAUUUUGGCCUUUUAAUUGUAAAAGGCCAAAACGACGUCGUUUCGGUCAUGAAUAUAUAUAUAAAAAAUAAACUCGGGUCUCAACCGGCCCGGAUCAACCCUCUGGGUCGACUGGGUCAAUUCCCAACCUGUUUUUUUCUUAGACUCGUGUCGGCCAGGUCCCGGGUCGAUCCACCAGGCCGGACCGGGUUUUAAAACUAUACAUUUUGCACCUCGUUUAUGAAACCCUAAAUUCCUUAAAAUUUCACAGGGGCAUUUCCGUCAAAAGAUAAAAACUUAAAAUUAAAAAAAAAAUUAAAAAAAAAAUAAAAAGAAGGGAGCCUACAUCUAGCUGGUCAUGUCAGGUUAGGGAGGAGAGAAAGAAAAACUUGCUCAAAUAGAUGAUAGAUUCGGUCAGUUGGCAAUAAUUGCCAGGCUGUACACAUCUCUCCGUGUUCAAUAGCACCUUUUGUUUUGUUUUCUUCUCUUUCAACCAGUAUCUCCCCCUCCAUCCUUGUACUCUCCUGAAAUAAUCUAUCUCCAUCUUGUCUCUCUAUUUCCACUCUGCUACUGCAACCACCCCAAUGCAGUGUGCGCAUCGCGCACCCUCUCUCUUCUUCACUCUACACACAUUACCCCCAUGUACUCCACCAGCCUGUUUCUGCUAACCCCUGGCUUCCCUCCUCCUCCUCUGCUUCUUCUUCAUCCUUCUUUUAACAAAUUUUAAAAAGCCUAAUUAAAACCACCCCCACCUUCUCCCUUUUGUGUUUGUGUAUUUCUUUCGUGAAAGUGAAAGGCGAAGGGCAGAAGAAUAAUGGAUCCUUGCCCUUUCGUGCGCUUAACAGUAGGAAAUCUGGCUUUAAAAAUCCCUGUCGCUUCAAAACCUGCACGCUCUGUGGUUCACCCAUCAUCUUCUCCCUGUUUUUGCAAAAUCAAGCUCAAAAACUUCCCUCUUCAAACGGCUGUCAUUCCUUACAUUCCAUCUCAAUUUCCUGAAGGUCAGCUCCAAACUCCAGCUGCCACUUUCCACCUAAGCAAGUCUGAUCUCGACCGGCUCGUUGCCAAAUCUAUUUUCACCAACAAACUCCAACUCAAAAUCUCUCUCUAUACUGGCCGCCUCGGCACUACUUGUGGAGUUAACUCUGGGAGGUUGUUAGGGAAAGUUUCUGUACCUUUGGAUCUGGCGGGAACGGAAUCUAGAGGUGUUACGUUUCAUAAUGGAUGGAUUUCUAUUGGAAAAGAGAGUGUAAAGAGUUCCUCUGCUGUAUUUCAUUUGAAUGUUAAAGCUGAGCCUGAUCCAAGGUUUGUUUUUCAAUUUGACGGAGAACCUGAGUGCAGUCCCCAAGUGUUUCAGAUCCGAGGCAAUAUCAGGCAACCUGUUUUUACUUGCAAAUUCAGCCUUAGAACCACCGGCGGUGGUGACCGCAAUCGGAGAUCCAUGUUAGUUUGUUUUAGGGUUUUAACCUUCUUGCUUUUUAAUUUUAGUAAAAUCAAGCAUUAAUUUUUUUUUUUAAAUAGAGUAAAGCGCUGCAUUUGUUAAUCUCUUAAUCCAACUUGUUUUUAUUAAAAAGAGACUAAUACAAGUUAAUCAUGUUUUUUUAGGUGAUUAAAAACUUAAUUAUAUAUCUUUUUGGAGAUUAUUAUCCCAUCUUAUUUCGUGCUAUGUUGCUAAUUAAUUUGGAGUUACUUGUUUCUGGUUUUGCCCAGAUCAUUGCAAGAGGAGCCCAGCAGCUCAAGGAGCUGGCUAAGUUCAUUUGGUAGCGAAAUAGAGAGACCACUGAAAGAAAGAAAAGGCUGGUCAAUAACAGUCCAUGAUUUAUCCGGCUCACCAGUUGCCGCAGCUUCAAUGGUUACUCCAUUCGUACCUUCACCUGGUUCAGACAGAGUAAGCCGCUCGAACCCUGGUUCAUGGCUCAUCCUCCGCCCUGGAGCUGGUACCUGGAAACCAUGGGGCCGGCUGGAGUCUUGGCGCGAGCGCGGCUCGUCUGAUGGACUUGGCUACCGUUUUGAACUAAUCCCUGACACAAACGGCACUUUGAGCGCAGCCAGUAUUGUAUUAGCCGAGAGCACACUAAGUUCGCACAAAGGAGGCAAGUUUGUAAUUGAUUUAGGAGCCUGCUCAAACGGACGAACCACGCCGGCAAAUUCGGCUUCUCCUGUGUGUAGCCCAAGGGGUGGUGGCGAUCACGGUUAUGGAUUGUGGCCUAAUUGUAUGCACAGAGGGUUUGUAAUGUCGGCUAGCGUGGAAGGAGAAGGGAAGUGCAGUAAACCUGGCGUGGAAGUUGGUGUGCAGCACGUCAAUUGUACUGAAGAUGCAGCUGCUUUCGUGGCAUUAGCUGCUGCCGUUGAUUUGAGUAUGGAUGCUUGUAAGCUCUUCUCGCAACGGUUAAGAAAAGAGCUCUGUCAAGAUCAGGAUAUGCUUGGCUGACAGGGGUGAUGAUUCUGGUUUUUUUGUUUUUUUUUGGCGGGGGGAGGGGGGCGCUUUUACGUUGUCGUUUUGUGAUAAUUAAUUUUUUUCGGGUGGAUGGAUCUUAAUAUUUUCCUGCUACCAAGUACAAACAAAUAACUGACUGUGUACAGGGAGCUAGAUUAGACAGGCACGCUUUGUUUUAAUUUGGGUGGCUCGUUUUUAUUUGUUUUUAAGAAAAAAGCGUUAUGAAGGUGAUGUUUUAUAUCUUUGAUGUUUCUGUGAUAUUGGUUUUUUUUUUUGAAAUUAAUAUUUUUUUAUUUUAUUAGAUGAAUUUGAUGUGUUAAUACUAAAAAUAAAUUUUUAAAAAAUAAAAAUAUAUUAAUUUAAUGUAUUUUUAAAUAAAAAAUAUCUUAAAAAUAAUUGAUAUACUAAACAGGGUUUUAUACGGUUGAUUAACUGUAUUUUUAAUUUUAAGUUAUCUUUUUGUGAGUUUUUGUAUUAUUUUAAAAUAAUAGAGUUAAAAAUAAAUUUUAAAAAUAAAAGAAAAUAUUAUUUGUAAAACAGGACAAUUACAUGUGAAAUUUCUUCUGCAGAAAUAAUUUUAGUAAUUGUUUUUAAAAUAAAGAUAAUGUUUGUUUAUUUGUAAGAGAUAAUAUUUUAAAAAUAAAUAAAUAUUAGUUUUAAUCUAGUGAUAUAAAUAAUAUUUAUUUAAAUAUAAAAGUUAUUUUAAAUUUAACAAAUAAAUCAAUUCAUUGUUAAUGGAUAUACAGCUAAGCAUGCGUUAAAAAUAAAAAUAAAAAUUCAAUUUCACGCGCCAUGAAUAUAUAUUUUUACAAUAUUAUCAUUGAUUAUUUUAAAGAAAGAGAAAAAAAUAAAAUAUAAAAAGAGCACUUCAUUGGAAAUCAAAUUAAUUUCCAACAUAAAAUCUUUGGUGCUAUUGACAAAGAAUAUUUAUUUUUAAAAUUCAAAAUUUGAAAGAUUAUUUUUGAAAGUUAGAGAUGAGAUAUGGAGGUUGGUGCGGGGGAGCAGGUACGGGAAGUGCUGGGCGUGCACGCAAGGACUCAAUGAAAAAGAGCAACAAAAGAAAGAGAGAGAGAAGUGGAUGGUAGCUGUAAUGCGCUUUUGAGUUAUAUAAUAAAUUUGGCUUUGGUAUGAAUGAAGUGUGGAGCUGCUGCUUAUUACUGCUAUUAAUUAUUAGGAGCGUUUAUCUGACUUGUGCAGCAAAUAGCUUAUUUUAUAAUCUUAAGUUUUCCUUUAUGGAAAGAUCGGAUCCCACUGUCGAAGACUGUUUCUGGGGACCGACGACCAUUCAUGGCAUGGCUAGAGGUGAUUCUGAAGGUGAGCUCAAGUGGUCCGGAAACGAUUUCAUAAUCCGGCCCGUGUUGGGACUCCUCUUUCUGAAAUGAGGAGUCACGUUCACGUCUUCAGGGCUGACCUGAAACUGUCACAGCUAGCUUUUGUUGGAAAAUGAGGUCUGAGGAACAUUGUGCUUUGUAGGGUUGGCUUGUGGUGUCUUACUGUUACACAUGACAUGCUAACAAGAGGGGACCCAAGUUAAACACUGCUAUGCUAGCAUGAGAGAUUAAAUAGCUGGAGCUUCUGCUGCCUAUCCAGUAAAAAGUACGAGGAAUGGGCCUUUUUCUUCUUUUUAUCUCUCAAAUUUACAUUUAAUUUGAUCAGCGUGAAGUGACUGAAUCACGGGGACGCCUUGCAGCCAGAUUAUUAUUAUUAUUAUUAUUAUUAUUAUAAUUCAUUUGCUUAUGACUUGCAGUGGUUGUCUGUCGACCGGUGAGCUUUUCGGGUGCGUUUGUUUUGCACCUAUUUGUGUGUUUACAGUAUAAAAGAUAUUUAGUAAUUAUAAAAACUGUGUUUUAUAGCAUAGAGCACAUUAAAAAAUUGAGUUUAAAAUGUAGUUUUUCUGAAGCAGUUUUUAUAUAUUUUUUUAAUUGAGUUUCAUAAAAUACCGUUUGUUUUUGUCUUUCAAAAGCGUUUUUGAAAAAAAUUGAUAAUUUUUUAUUUUUUUCUUUACUUCAAAUUAAUAUUUUUUUAGUAUUUUUAGAUCAUUUUGAUGCGCUAACAUCAAAAAUAAUUUUUAAAAAAUAAAAAUACAUUUUUUUAAUGCAUUUCCAAGUAAAAAUCACUUUGAAAAGCAACCACACAACUUUUAUACAUGUUUUUCGCGGCACAUAAAACCUCAACCAUAAUUUUUACCAAACACGUAUCUAAAUCCAACUAACCACACAUAACCAUAUUUUUUUUUAACUUAUUUUUUUUAAAUCACAACUAUAAAAACUACCUUAAAAACAAAUACUCUCUUUGCUGACCCGCAAACGAUACAACGUGAUUUCUUAGAAGAGAGUUUGCUCUGUUUGGUAUCGCGAUCGAGUAAAAUUUAAUUUUUUUAUUUAAAAUUUAUUUUUUAAUUUUUUUAAUUUUUUUGAUAUGUUGAUAUCAAAAAUAAUUUUUAAAAAAUAAAAAAAUAUAUUAUUUUGAUAUAUUUUCGAGUAGAAAAUACUUUAAAAAAAAAAAAACCUUCUCUUUUUUUUUUUUUUAAUCAUUAGAAUCAUGUUAGAAUGUACAAGUCAGUUGCCCAAGCUGGAUAUAAUUUUUUCAUAAUAUAAUUAAACCCAACCAAGCUCUAAUGGGGCAAUAUAAUGACCGCGUUGGGUUUUAAAGCAAAUUAAAUAGAAGUUUACCUAAUAAAACUCAACAACCUGGCAGAUACAUCCUAGUAAAAACCCAAGUUGCCUUAUAAAAAAAUUAAAAAUAUUAAUUUAAUAUUUUUUAUUUAUAAAUACAUUUAAUUAAAUUAUUUAUAAAAAUAGAUAUCUGUUGGAUGCGUUGGGCUGGAUUGUUUCCUAUCGUGAAAGGGGAGCGAAGUCAGAGCUAUUCUUUAAGUUAAAAAUGGACUUCCCAAACCUUAGAUACAAUGCCAAGUUUCUUUAAGUUGAAACCCACGUAGCUUGGGCUUCUUCCUUCAAUUCACAAAUCAAUUAAUCAGAAGUUUCGAGUAGUCUUCAAAAGAUAUUUAUAAAAAAGUUUGUCCGCCAUUUAUGGAUAUUUAUAAAUAAUAAUUUAAUUAAUUCCAUCUAUAUCCUUUCUUUAGACCUUUCAUGUUUUCGAGGAAUUUUUUUCCUAGAUUCUAACACCUGUUUCUACCAACUUUAAACCAUGCCAUAUCAAAUUACCUUAUACUACAUUUCACCAUUAUUCUUUCAUCAUUUAUUUUUUCAUCUGCUUUUUUAUUCUUAUUUUUGUGUUUUUUGUUUUUCAGCUAUUUUUUGUAAUUUAAUUUUUUUAAAAAAAUCAUCCAUACAUACACAUUUUAUUCUAAUUUUUCAUAUCUAUCAUCAUCCUGAUGAGUUAAAUAUUCAAUUUAUUUAGUAUAAGUUUUCCCUUGUUAAUUUUAUUAAAAAAAAUCCAAUGAUUUACACAAACACUGCUUCAAUAAAGACUUGCACCUUGUUGAUGAAUUGCUGGAAGAUUUAGUUGGGCAGGAGUGCCUAUAGUAACGGUUAGAUUCGACAUGCAUCCCGAUCCAUGUGUGUCUAUAUUGUAUGCUAUCGAAUAAUGUAAUAAUAUCAAAAAUAAAUUUUUGGUAAGAAAUUAAUGGCUUUUUUAUAUCAUCAUUUUCCCACAAAUAGCACCAAUGAUGAUAUCUUAAAAAACCUCAGGGUGCUUAGGAACAAGACUUAUAUGGGUGGAUAAAUUGGUUAAUCACUUGGCCGUAUAAUCUAUUCCAUUCUCUAUGGCUAUGAUGGCCAAAAUAGGUGUAGCUUGAUGUGGAAAGCUAAAAAUACCUGCAAAAGGUCAUUUAUGGUAGGUUAAAGGACUCUCAGAUGGUUAAGUAAAUAUUUUUAUAGUGAGAGAAAGAGUGCAAUGAUAUUAUAUAUAUAUAUAUAUAUAUAUAUAUAUAUAUAUUAAAAAGGGUUUUUAUGCUCGGCGUGUCCUUUAUAUGAAAAUCUGAGGCCAUGGGGCCAUUCCUUUGACUCGUACUGAUGAGAAUUUGACUCCACGAGAAAUUGAGCAAAAAGCAGCGGAAUUGGCUUAUUUUUUACGUGUACCUAUUGAAGUAUUUUGAAAUAAACCGAAGCAUUUUUCUUAGCAGGAGGUAAAAAAUGUCCAAUCAAUUUUUACCUCUUAUUCUAGUGUGUACUUUCGGAGGAGCAUGCAAGCAAGAAGGAAGUUUGUGCUUGAUGCAAAUGGCUAAAAUUUAUUCCGCUUUAUAUGAUUGUCAAUUGAAUAAAAAGUUAGUUUAUGUAUCAAUCCUUACAUCUCCUACGACUGGUGGGGUGACAACUAGUUUUGGUAUGUUGGGGGAUAUCAUUAUUGUUGAACCCAACGCCUACAUUGCAUUUGCAGGUAAAAGAGUAAUAGAACAAACAUUGAAUAAGACAGUACCUGAAGGUUCACAAGCGGCUGAAUUUUUAUUCCAUAAGGGCUUAUUCAAUCCAAUCGUACCACGUAAUCUGUUAAAGGAUGUAGAGUGUGAACCCUUUACCUACAAUGAAUAUUUAUAGCCCAUGAACUUUAUUUUUUUGCUGGAGUGGAGGGGCUGGAUAGUCAUUUUACCCUGAUAAAUUAAUCUUGAAUCAUGAAUUUAGACUUAGAGGAAUUAAAUUUCCCAAAUAUAGACUUGGAUGUCGGUUUGGAUGCUUGGAAAGUAAAUUGAACUCGUUUCUUCACAAAACCUGUCCACUGAUAGAAUUUAUAAGUCAUCUUAGAAAAAUCAUAUCUCUCUCUUGUGAGCUCAUUUUCUACUACAAUUUGGUAGGCUUAUAGGUCUUCAAGUCAGGAAUUCAACACAAGUAAGUUUGCAUCAAAUAGAUCUCUCUAACUCAAGAUAUUCAAGUUGGAAUGACCGAAGGUCAACACUGGCAAAAUACGAGAUCUGUCUUUGAAGGCUGCGAUUUCCAUGCUCUUUCUCUUUUUAUUUUUCUUGCCAUAUAUGUAUAAAACGAUAUGGAUAUUAGAUUUCUAAUGCCACUGGAAUCACUUCAUUUCUACCUCUAGAGCUCAAGCUCUGCACAAAACAUUGAUCAAAUGUCAAAUCUGCCUUUAAAUCAUAAAACAAAAAAUAUCAAGGCAUUUUAUACAUAAAAAAAAUACAAAAUACUAGGCAAAUGUGAGUAAAACUAUCAAAUAAUAUGAUUGCAUCAAUAUUCAAUUAAAUCGAACAUCGAUUGUAAACAAUUAUGUUAUCUAGAUUUAUCAAGCUAUCUAGUUCUCAAGGUUGUCAUUGUAUUAAAUUACUAUUGCAAAUACUAUGAUUAUUUAAUUAUUAGGGUUAGUUACAUUAUGUAUUGGUUAAUUGACUAAUGUUAAGGAAAGAUAAAUAUUCAGAAUAUAAAAUAAUAUAUCGUUUCAAUGAUGAGUUUUAAUUUAUGUAAGUAGAUAUUUACUUGAGACCAAGAUUUUUCUCUUGAUUAGUCUCAAAUUUAUUUAAUUUAACUUGAUUAUUUUAUUCUAUUUAUCAUAGCAUAACCUAGACAACCUCAAACUUUGAAUCAUCUAGCAUAAAGACUUACACUAGAUCUUCCUUGUGAGAUCGUCCCUUUCUUACUCUAUACUAUCUUAUUUGUUUAAGUUGGGGUAAUUAAUUUGUAUAACUGUGAAAUCAUAAUAAAAGUCCACAAGUCAAAAGAAAAUAAAUAACAAAAUUCGUAAACUUGUCCGAACUUAUAUCGUGAGUCCUUCUCAAAUUUCGAUUCACCUAAAAGUUUUCCCCAACAUAGAAAAAUACAUCUGGAAUAUUUUGAUAAAAUUUCAGCUUGAUCCAACGGUUUGAUUUAAAGUUAUAUUCAAUAACGUAAAACUAGAUAAUAGAACAUUUUACGUUAAAAUCCAAAUCUAACCUUACUUGGAUCAUAUCACGACAUCUAUAAUAACUUUUUAGUCAAACCUAGUUUUAACCAAGUCAACCAAAUAAUAAUUGACCCCUUCAAAUUAACCGGUCAUAUUAAUUUAAGUUCUACAUGAUUAAGCCAAAUCAAAUGGCAUCAAAUGGCCUCCAAGUUGAUCUGCACAAUUUAAUAAGAUAAAAAAAUUUUAAUUAGACAAAUAUUUUUUGAAUCUUAUUUUAAAAUGUCCAAGAAUUUUUUGUAUGAUUGUUGUGAUUUUUUUAUAUAUUAAAUGAAUGAUACAUAACAGCAAAUAAUAUUUUUUAUUUUUAUAGAUAAGAGAUAUAAAUAAAAGAAGAUGUUAUACUAGCAAUUUGAAAUUAUUGCUCUUUUAAAAAUUAAAAAAAAAAUUCACCAUAUUAAUAAACAAGACUUUGAUAAAUCUUUAGAUCAGAUCUUGAUGUAUGUCAUUUUAUAAUUUUUUUUUUAUCAAACCGCUUCCUAGCACAGGCCAGUAACUAGUUUAAACUAAACAAUUCCAAUCUCUCAAGUAUGUUACAAUAUGUAUAAUCAAUCAUACAUGCUUUCAGUGCUGAAGAGUUCCCCUCAACGACGACAAAGACAACAGCAAAACGAACAAGAGAGUUACAGAGACACUGUCAAAGAGAAACAGCGUCGAUUCCAUUAUUUACAAAAAUCCAACUUUAUUUUGCCUUUGCAGCAGAUGCAGUGAAAGCAGAAAACAGUCUACAAAUCUCUUUUUAUUCCGGGAGAAAUUAAGACAACAAACACGAACUUAAACGCAAGGCUGCAAAUAACUGGCAAGAAAAGCAUAAGAGAGGAAUCAUAGAAUAGAGCAAGAGGAAGAAGAUCCAGCACCAUUUCCUUUGGGGUUAUUGGGAUCGACACCAGGCCAUUCACGGCAGAGACAGUGUUGCCCCUCAGGGAUGCCCCUAUAAACGGAAGGAACAUGCCUGCCACAACCACCCCAGGUGGUCUUGCCGCACGUUGAGCAUCUCUCCCUGUAACACAUCUUUCGGCUCUGAGAGUACUGUUGAUUGUUUCUUUUUAUGUUUUCUUCUCUCUUCGCCUCUUUAAUGAUUGAAUGGCGACGACAGA